Molecule: ribosomal RNA, 460 nt
Filed under: uncultured bacterium
Lineage: Bacteria
Description: partial 16S ribosomal RNA
Rfam family: Bacterial small subunit ribosomal RNA
Source: RNAcentral
CCUACGGGUGGCAGCAGUGAGGAAUAUUGGUCAAUGGACGCAAGUCUGAACCAGCCAUGCCGCGUGCAGGAAGACGGCUCUAGGAUUUGUAAACUGCUUUUGUACGAGGGUAAACGCAGAUACGCGUAUCUGUCUGAAAGUAUCGUACGAAUAAGGAUCGGCUAACUCCGAUCCGGCAGCCGCGGUAAUACGGAGGAUUCAAGCGUUAGCCGGAUUUAGUGGGUUUAAAGGGAGCGUAGGCGGUCGGAUAAGUUAGAGGUGAAAUCACAGGGAUCAACUUCGGAAUUGCAUCUGAUACUGUUCGGCUAGAGAGUAGGUGCGGUAGGCGGAAUGUAGGGUGUAGCGGUGAAAUGCUUAGAGAUCAGACAGAACACCGAUUGCGAAGGCAGCUUACCAAGCUACUUCUGACGUUGAGGCACGAAAGCGUGGGGAGCAAACAGGAUUAGAUACCCGGGUAGUC